RNAcentral lists this ribosomal RNA (254 nucleotides) under uncultured bacterium. RNAcentral describes it as "partial 16S ribosomal RNA". It matches the Rfam family "Bacterial small subunit ribosomal RNA", at positions 524 to 776 of the family's 1533-position model. The record is from RNAcentral.
UACGUAGGGCGCAAGCGUUUAUCCGGAAUCAUUGGGCGUAAAGCGCACGUAGGCGGUCUGUUAUGUCGGAUGUGAAAGCCCUUGGCUCAACUGAGGAAGUGCAUCCGAAACUGGCAGGCUGGAGUACUAAAGAGGGUCGCGGAAUUCCCGGUGUAGAGGUGAAAUUCGUAGAUAUCGGGAGGAACACCGGUGGCGAAGGCGGCGACCUGGGUAGAUACUGACGCUGAGGUGCGAAAGCGUGGGGAGCAAACAGG